RNAcentral lists this ribosomal RNA (253 nucleotides) under uncultured bacterium. RNAcentral describes it as "partial 16S ribosomal RNA". It matches the Rfam family "Bacterial small subunit ribosomal RNA", at positions 524 to 776 of the family's 1533-position model. The record is from RNAcentral.
UACGUACCGAGCGAACGUUGUUCGGAAUCACUGGGCUUAAAGGGCGCGUAGGCGGGCUGUCAAGUUUGGGGUGAAAUCCCGCGGCUCAACCGUGGAACUGCCUCAGAUACUGACGGUCUCGAGGGAGGUAGGGGCGAGCGGAACUGAUGGUGGAGCGGUGAAAUGCGUUGAUAUCAGCAGGAACUCCGGUGGCGAAGGCGGCUCGCUGGACCUUUUCUGACGCUGAGGCGCGAAAGCGAGGGGAGCAAACGGG